UGGCGCCCGAACAGGGACCUGGAAACGAGGGACUCCGUGAGGAAGAGGACGCCAAAGGACGGUCGACCGCUAACAAAGACAAAAGGAAUUCACCGCGGGAACCUGCCGCGUCUGAAUCGAAGGUAAGUGGCGCGUCCGAAAUGGGACAAGAAUUAAGUCAGCAUCAGAUCUAUGUAGGACAAUUAAAAGAGGCUUUAAAGAUACGAGGAGUAAAGGUUAAAGGUAAUGAUUUGUUUAAAUUUUUUGAUUUUGUAAAAGAUACUUGCCCUU
Molecule: non-coding RNA, 270 nt
Organism: Papio anubis (olive baboon)
Lineage: Eukaryota; Metazoa; Chordata; Mammalia; Primates; Cercopithecidae
Source: Rfam